This 679-nucleotide long non-coding RNA is filed under the name Carica papaya (papaya). Its description in RNAcentral is "long non-coding RNA (CPAP_LNC004892)". The record is from RNAcentral. Lineage: Eukaryota; Viridiplantae; Streptophyta; Magnoliopsida; Brassicales; Caricaceae.
GUCAAAAUAAUACAGGAGGAGCUUCAACCAGUGCUGAUACUAGCUUAGGUAUGAGGAGAGGUGGCGGUUCUCUUAUAACAGUGGUUUUUCAAGUAGUGGUUUCUACAAAGGACCUGAACAUGGAAUCUGUAGCCACUGUCAAAAAUCUUAUCAGCUCAACGAUUCAGAGGAUUAAAGAUGUUCUUAAUUGCUCUAAUAUUGAGUAGAAUAAUGUAUUAAAUGUUUGUUGUUGUGAACAUCAGAACUUCAAUUGUAAUGUCGAUUGCUUAAAAUCAUAGAUAGAUAUUUUGUUGUGUUAGAAAUUUUUUUGCGAAAAUGGAUCACAUAACAGCAAUCAAUCUACUCCACCUCCAUUAACCGCAAGAAAAUUAACUGGCCAGGAGAUUCAUCGGCAAGUUCAAUCACACAAACAAAUGCCGUGAGAUAGAGAAGAGAAAUACCUGGUGCCGGCCGUAUCCUUCCACGCAAUCCUAGGAAAAACCUAAAACUGCGCGAAUAGGAAAGAACCGAAAAAAGGAAAACCGAAAGCCGAGGACACGGCGAAGAAAGAAAGAAGAGGAGGCAGAAGUUCCGGCGACUUUGGCUGAUGGCUGGACGGUGACUGGCGUGAAAAUGAGGAAUCGGACGGCGGGUAGCAGCGGUAGGGAUUGGCAGUUGAAAGACAGACGACUACUGUGUG